RNAcentral lists this transfer RNA (69 nucleotides) under Fukomys damarensis (Damara mole-rat). It matches the Rfam family "tRNA". Rfam says of the family: Transfer RNA (tRNA) molecules are approximately 80 nucleotides in length. Their secondary structure includes four short double-helical elements and three loops (D, anti-codon, and T loops). The record is from Rfam by way of RNAcentral. Lineage: Eukaryota; Metazoa; Chordata; Mammalia; Rodentia; Bathyergidae.
GGGUAUGUAGAUUGGUGGUGGAUCCCCUGCCUCGUAAGCAGGAGGCCCUGGGUUCAACCCCCAACACCA